GCCCGGAUGGCGGAAUUGGUAGACGCGCCGGAUUCAAAAUCCGGUUCCUUCACGUGAGGGCCGGUUCGAUUCCGGCCCUCGGUACCA
RNAcentral lists this transfer RNA (87 nucleotides) under Opitutia bacterium. Its description in RNAcentral is "Opitutae bacterium (marine metagenome) tRNA-Leu". It matches the Rfam family "tRNA". Rfam says of the family: Transfer RNA (tRNA) molecules are approximately 80 nucleotides in length. Their secondary structure includes four short double-helical elements and three loops (D, anti-codon, and T loops). Lineage: Bacteria; Pseudomonadati; Verrucomicrobiota; Opitutia. The record is from RNAcentral.